CGGGGCGUGGUGUAGUGGUUUAACAUGCGUGCUUUGGGAGCACGAGAUCGCCAGUUCAAAUCUGGCCGCCCCGA
This 74-nucleotide transfer RNA is filed under the name Candidatus Portnoybacteria bacterium CG03_land_8_20_14_0_80_41_10. Its description in RNAcentral is "tRNA-Pro". It matches the Rfam family "tRNA". From Rfam's summary of the family: Transfer RNA (tRNA) molecules are approximately 80 nucleotides in length. Their secondary structure includes four short double-helical elements and three loops (D, anti-codon, and T loops). The record is from RNAcentral. Lineage: Bacteria; Candidatus Portnoyibacteriota.